UGGGGAAUUGAACAUUGUAAUUACAUUUAGACCCAGGGCAACACCCAAUUGUUCACUCUUAUUUGUAGCUGGAAGCACCUACAAAUGACAUGUUUUAAUGAAUUACAGAUCCUGUGGUGAGUUAAUAGGAUAACAAAUCUCAGUCAGUAUUGCAUCAGUUGGGGUGGGAAGAAGCUGAUCUCUUUGUAAACAUAUAACCUGGCCGAAACAGUUAAGAAAUGAUAAGGUUGAGUUAAUGUUAGUCCUUGUAUUCUUACUGCUGUGUCGACCUAUUCAGUUGGGUAGGCUGGCUGUUUCCCAGAAUUUCUCUGAG
This 313-nucleotide long non-coding RNA is filed under the name Bos taurus (domestic cattle). Its description in RNAcentral is "long non-coding RNA NONBTAT019703". Lineage: Eukaryota; Metazoa; Chordata; Mammalia; Artiodactyla; Bovidae. The record is from RNAcentral.